This 1963-nucleotide long non-coding RNA is filed under the name Heterocephalus glaber (naked mole-rat). RNAcentral describes it as "lncRNA (ENSHGLG00100051410.1)". Lineage: Eukaryota; Metazoa; Chordata; Mammalia; Rodentia; Bathyergidae. The record is from RNAcentral.
ACCACUGCCCAUGGCUCCUAAAUUUAUUUUUCUAAAUGCCACAUAAAAACAUUAAAAUGGCACAUAUUAUGGGGUGAUGUGUGCUGUUUCAUACAUGUUCCCACUGUGAAAUACUCUGAUCAGGUUAAACACUUGUCUUCUCAAACAUUUAUCUUUGCUUUAUGGUGAAACCAUUCAAAAUCCUUUCUCUUAGCUUUUUGAACUAUACAUUACGUUUUCAUCUGAAGUCAGCAUAAAGUCUAAUUCUUAGACUUUUAGCCAGUCCUCUCAUGUGUGCUUCACCUCUAUCCCCCACUCUUGCAAGUACAUGGCAUCACCAUUCUCUGGGUUUGGCGGAGCUUUUUCCCUGGCAUUGGGAUCCAGCAUUUAGUAGUCAGGUCUGAGAGGAGACUCUGUCCAGUUGGCUUGACAUGGCAGGUGAAUGGUGCUCAUGGCUGCCCCCGUCCUGGGUUAGAGGGUCCCAGCUGCCAGUGCAGUAAAGCAGUGCCCUAUUUGUCAUCUUUUCUUUCCGUGUAGUGAUUGAAAGGAAAAAUGAGUUAUGAUCCAGGUGUCUGAGUCCUGACCCUGUCCCUGCUUCUGACCCAGUUCUUGUGUUCUUGCCAUUUUCUUCUCCCUCCUUCCUGUUCUUUGCCUGGACCCCAGCGUUAUCUCUUUGCUGGUACCCAUGUUCUCUGCUCUCCCAAGUCCUACUACCCACCCUCGAGUGUGAUGUCAUUAACAGUGUCAUUCCACUUGCUGCUGGGACCUCUUGUCACCAGUGCAGGUGUCACACCUGCCAUUAUUAGACCUGGUUCCUUGGCCUUUGCCCACACUUCUGCAGACCCAGCCAAGUUAGACUUUAGUCUAAAAAACUGCUUCACUUUUUCAACCUCUGCCUCCCAUGGAAAUGCUACCUCCCCUCCCCUACUCCCAGGACCCAAGAUGAACUACAUCCUCAGCCCUUUUUAUUUUUUGCUUUGAAGCAAGAUCUCACUAAAUUGCUAAAUUGCCCAUGCCGAGCUCAAACUGCAGUCCUCCUACCUCAGUCUCCCAGAGUUGCUGGGAUUACAAGUGUUAGAACAAAAAUCCCAGAGCACAACUGCUGACAGCAGACAAAAGCAGGCUCCUUUGGGCUCAUGAAAAGAUUCAGGAGUAGAAAAGCAAUCAGAGGAGGAGAAUCAGAGGGGAACAAAAAGAAGUUUUGGUCCCAGCACUCAGGAGGCUGAGGCAAGAGGACUGAGAGAUCCAGGCCAGCCUGAGCUACAUAGCAAGACCUUCUAUCAAAAACUUUUUUAAAAAGCACAUUUAUGGGAGAUUAAAGAAGACAUUCAAGGGACAAUCUGGAGUCCAAGAAUACUGCUUUCAGAUGAAGUGCAAGAUUCAGGGAAAGAUACUGUGAUAAUAAUAUAAGCCAAUAUGUGAGAGUUUAGACCUUGAAAUAAAUGGAUUUUUCUCUUCAGUCCUGGAAUUGAACCCAGGACCUCUGUGUAAGGCUAUGCUGUACCACUGAGCUACAUCCUCAACCCAAAAUAGUUAUGAUUUUGGGGAGUUUAUUGGGGGGGGGGUUGAGACAGGGUCUCACUAUGUAGUCCAAGCUGGCCUCAAACUCACAGCGAUCCUCCUGCCUCAGCCUCCUGAGUGUUGGGAUUACAGACAUACACCACCAUGCCUGGCCAGUUUUUAAAAAUAAAAUACAAAUGACUAAAAUUGACUAAAAGAAAUGGAAAAUUUGGAUAGACCAACUAUUCAGGUAGAUCAAAUUAUGUGGAUAGGAAAGAGCCAUCAAAAGUCUAGGGCCAGGGAUUUAGCUCAGUGAUUCUGCUGCCUGCCUCGCAAGCGCAAGGUCCCAAGUUUGAUCCCUGGUACCAAAAAAAAAAAGUCAUACCCCCCAAAUUUCAGCUCCAGUUGAAUAAUGUGGAGAAUUUCCAGUAAAUCUUCAAGAAAGAUAAUAGGUAGUUUUACAAUCUAGAAUCUAGGGUAUGAG